UGGAUGAACGCUGGCGGCGUGCUUAACACAUGCAAGUCGAACGAUGAAGCCGGAGCUUGCUCUGGCGGAUUAGUGGCGAACGGGUGAGUAACACGUGAGUAACCUGCCCUUGACUCUGGGAUAAGCGUUGGAAACGACGUCUAAUACCGGAUACGACGCGCGAAGGCAUCUUCUGCGCGUGGAAAGAAUUUCGGUCAAGGAUGGACUCGCGGCCUAUCAGCUAGUUGGUGAGGUAACGGCCCACCAAGGCGACGACGGGUAGCCGGCCUGAGAGGGUGACCGGCCACACUGGGACUGAGACACGGCCCAGACUCCUACGGGAGCAGCAGUGGGAAUAUGCACAAUGGGCGCAAGGCCUGAUGCAGCAACGCCGCGUAGGAGGGACGACCGGCCUUCGGUUAGUAACCGUGUUUUACGGUAGGAAGGAAGACGAAAGUGAACGGUACCUGGACGAAGAAAAACGCAACCGGACUAAACCGUAGUACG
Molecule: ribosomal RNA, 486 nt
Filed under: uncultured soil bacterium
Lineage: Bacteria
Description: bacterial SSU rRNA
Rfam family: Bacterial small subunit ribosomal RNA
Source: RNAcentral